GACGAACGCUGGCGGCGUGCUUAACACAUGCAAGUCGAACGGUGAAGGGACCGGUUUUUGCUGGUUCUGGCUGAGUGGCGAACGGGUGAGUAACACGUGAGUAACCUGCCCCCUUCUUCUGGAUAACCGCAUGAAAGUGUGGCUAAUACGGGAUAUUCUGCGCCUGCUGCAUGGUGGGUGUGGGAAAGAUAUUGUUUCGGUGGGGGAUGGGCUCGCGGCCUAUCAGCUUGUUGGUGGGGUGAUGGCCUACCAAGGCGGUGACGGGUAGCCGGCCUGAGAGGGUGGACGGUCACACUGGGACUGAGACACGGCCCAGACUCCUACGGGAGGCAGCAGUGGGGAAUAUUGCACAAUGGGCGCAAGCCUGAUGCAGCGACGCCGCGUGAGGGAUGGAGGCCUUCGGGUUGUAAACCUCUUUCGCCAGUGAAGCAGGCCUGUCCCUUUUGUGGGUGGGUUGACGGUAGCUGGAAAAGAAGCGCCGGCUAACUACGUG
RNAcentral lists this ribosomal RNA (493 nucleotides) under uncultured bacterium. RNAcentral's name for it is "partial 16S ribosomal RNA". It matches the Rfam family "Bacterial small subunit ribosomal RNA", at positions 28 to 507 of the family's 1533-position model. The record is from RNAcentral.